AUGAAGGCACUCCUGAGCACAUACCUCCUCUUGGCCUUGCUUUCACCAGUGACACCUUUGAGGUGUAGAACAUGCUUUGGCUAUGGAGAAAAAUGUCAAGAUGAAGAUGUGAGGAUUGAGGAAUGCAGAUAUGACCAAGAUGCUUGCCUCGUCAUCACUGGUUAUUACUCAUUAUUGGAUUUGCCACUUUAUUUCACUUACAAGGGAUGUGCCAAGUACAACGAAUGUUACGAAGGCUAUUAUAGUUACACUUCCACAUAUCCUAAAUAC
Long non-coding RNA from Elgaria multicarinata webbii, 270 nucleotides. RefSeq lists it as uncharacterized. The transcript is spliced from 3 exons. NCBI's taxonomy places the organism in Eukaryota, Metazoa, Chordata, Lepidosauria, Squamata, Anguidae. The record is from RefSeq and is a predicted model, not a curated record.